RNAcentral lists this ribosomal RNA (326 nucleotides) under uncultured eukaryote. Its description in RNAcentral is "partial 18S ribosomal RNA". It matches the Rfam family "Eukaryotic small subunit ribosomal RNA", at positions 1470 to 1796 of the family's 1831-position model. The record is from RNAcentral.
CCCUUAGAUGUCCGGGGCCGCACGCGCACUACACUGAAGGAAUCAGCGUGGCUUUCUCCCUGACCCGAAAGGGUUGGGAAACCCGUUGAAUCUCCUUCGUGAUAGGGAUUGGGGCUUGAAAUUGUUCCCCAUGAACGAGGAAUUCCCAGUAAGCGCGAGUCAUAAGCUCGCGUUGAUUACGUCCCUGCCCUUUGUACACACCGCCCGUCGCUCCUACCGAUUGAAUGCUCAGGUGAGCCAUUCGGACUUUCAUCAUGCUGGUUUCCAGUUUUGAUGAAGGAAAGUCUUGCGAACCUUAUCAUUUAGAGGAAGGAGAAGUCGUAACA